CCUACGGGAGGCUGCAGUGAGGAAUAUUGGUCAAUGGGCGGAAGCCUGAACCAGCCAAGUAGCGUGCAGGAUGACGGCCCUACGGGUUGUAAACUGCGUUUAUACGGGAAUAACGCGCCUUACGUGUAGGGCUUUGCAUGUAUCGUAUGAAUAAGGGCCGGCUAAUUCCGUGCCAUCAGCCGCGGUAAUGCGGAAGGUCCGGGGGUUAUCCGGAUUUAUUGGGUUUAAAGGGAGCGUAGGCCGCACGUCAAGCGUGCUGUGAAAUGGCCGGGCCCAACCCGGGCCUUGCAGCGCGAACUGGCGUGCUUGAGUCCGCGGAAAGCAGGCGGAAUUCGUCGUGUAGCGGUGAAAUGCUUAGAUAUGACGAAGAACCCCGAUUGCGAAGGCAGCUUGCUGCAGCGGAACUGACGCUGAUGCUCGAAAGCGCGGGUAUCGAACAGGAUUAGAUACCCGAGUAGUC
Molecule: ribosomal RNA, 460 nt
Filed under: uncultured bacterium
Lineage: Bacteria
Description: partial 16S ribosomal RNA
Rfam family: Bacterial small subunit ribosomal RNA
Source: RNAcentral